Molecule: ribosomal RNA, 392 nt
Filed under: uncultured bacterium
Lineage: Bacteria
Description: partial 16S ribosomal RNA
Rfam family: Bacterial small subunit ribosomal RNA
Source: RNAcentral
AUACGGAGGAUCCGAGCGUUAUCCGGAUUUAUUGGGUUUAAAGGGUGCGCAGGCGGCCAUUUAAGUCAGCGGUUAAAUCGUGGGGCUCAACCCCAUUAAGCCGCCGAAACUGGAAGAAUUGAGUGAAGGAGAGGAAUGUGGAAUUCUCAGUGUAGCGGUGAAAUGCGUAGAUAUUGAGAAGAACACCAGGAGUGAAGGCGGCUUUCUGGACUGUAACUGACACUGAUGCUCGAAAGUGCGGGUAUCAAACAGGAUUAGAUACCCUGGUAGUCCACACAGUAAACGAUGAAUACUCGCUGUUUGCGAUAUACAGUAAGCGGCCAAGCGAAAGCAUUAAGUAUUCCACCUGGGGAGUACGCCGGCAACGGUGAAACUCAAAGGAAUUGGCGGGG